GACGAACGCUGGCGGCGUGCUUAACACAUGCAAGUCGAACGGAAAGGCCCUGCUUUUGUGGGGUGCUCGAGUGGCGAACGGGUGAGUAACACGUGAGUAACCUGCCCUUGACUUUGGGAUAACUUCAGGAAACUGGGGCUAAUACCGGAUAGGAGCUCCUGCUGCAUGGUGGGGGUUGGAAAGUUUCGGCGGUUGGGGAUGGACUCGCGGCUUAUCAGCUUGUUGGUGGGGUAGUGGCUUACCAAGGCUUUGACGGGUAGCCGGCCUGAGAGGGUGACCGGCCACAUUGGGACUGAGAUACGGCCCAGACUCCUACGGGAGGCAGCAGUGGGGAAUAUUGCGCAAUAGGCGGAAGCCUGAUGCAGCAACGCCGCGUGCGGGAUGACGGCCUUCGGGUUGUAAACCGCUUUCGCCUGUGACGAAGCGUGAGUGACGGUAAUGGGUAAAGAAGCACCGGCUAACUACGUG
Molecule: ribosomal RNA, 468 nt
Filed under: uncultured bacterium
Lineage: Bacteria
Description: partial 16S ribosomal RNA
Rfam family: Bacterial small subunit ribosomal RNA
Source: RNAcentral